AAAUCCACACUUUUCCCAAAAUUGCCCUCGACGUUACCCUAGACGUCACUGUUAGGAUUCGUAAUAAAGACUUCUAUUCAGUCAAUUUUCGUUCCGUAGCGGUUGCUAUAGGGUACAGGGGUAAGCAGCUGGGAUACGUCACCUCCGAUUAUGGUAAAAUUAGGGCCAGGGCGUCUUCUUACAUCAAUGCUACGCUGGAGCUCAACGAUAUUAGCAUUUUCUCUGAUAUUAUUCCAUUAAUUGAGGACUUGGCGAGAGGUUCUAUUACUUUUGAUACUGUGACUCAGAUUGGCGGUGAUCUAGGUUUAUUCCUCUUUGAUAUUCCCAUAAAGGUAUGCUACUCCAACUCUCUGUUGCUAUUGCAUUUACUUAGUUACUUACUAACAUUUUACUAUAAAGACUUCUAUUCAGUCAAUUUUCGUUCCGUAGCGGUUGCUAUAGGGUACAGGGGUAAGCAGUUGGGAUACGUCACCUCCGAUUAUGGAAAAAUUAGGGCCAGGGCGUCUUCUUACAUCAAUGCUACGCUGGAGCUCAACGAUAUUAGCAUUUUCUCUGAUAUUAUUCCAUUAAUUGAGGACUUGGCGAGAGGUUCUAUUACUUUUGAUACUGUGACUCAGAUUGG
Molecule: long non-coding RNA, 622 nt
Filed under: Nicotiana benthamiana
Lineage: Eukaryota; Viridiplantae; Streptophyta; Magnoliopsida; Solanales; Solanaceae
Description: long non-coding RNA (NBEN_LNC006295)
Source: RNAcentral